RNAcentral lists this ribosomal RNA (254 nucleotides) under uncultured bacterium. RNAcentral describes it as "partial 16S ribosomal RNA". It matches the Rfam family "Bacterial small subunit ribosomal RNA", at positions 524 to 776 of the family's 1533-position model. The record is from RNAcentral.
UACGUAGGUGGCAAGCGUUGUCCGGAUUUACUGGGCGUAAAGGGCGCGUAGGCGGCCACCGCAAGUCGACUGUGAAAUCUCCGGGCUUAACCCGGAAAGGUCAGCCGAUACUGCGGGGCUAGAGUGCAGAAGGGGCAACUGGAAUUCUCGGUGUAGCGGUGAAAUGCGUAGAUAUCGAGAGGAACACCUGCGGCGAAGGCGGGUUGCUGGGCUGACACUGACGCUGAGGCGCGAAAGCCAGGGGAGCGAACGGG